ACAUUAUACAAAAGUCAAAAAAGACAAACACAUAAUUAGGACAAAACAAUAAAAGGAGGAAUUGGAGGACACAAAACAAUUGGACAUAAUACAAAGGUCAAUAAGACAAACACGUAAUUAGGACAAAACAAUAAAAGGAGGACUUGGAGGACACAAAACAAUUGGACAAAACACAAAAGUCAAUAAAGACAUACAUAUAAUUAGGACAAAAAAAUAAAAGGAGGAUUUGGAGGAUACAAAACAAUUGGACAUAACACUAAAAAGCCAAAAUGAGAAACACAUAAUCGGGACAGAAAAAUAUAAGGAGGACUUGGAGGACAUAAAACAAUUGGGCAUCACACAAAAAAAUCACAGGGGAGGACAGAACAAGGACAAAGGAAUGUGGGACAGGAUGGUUACACAGACAGGAAUAAAAGCAUAAAGUCACGUAAAAACCAAAGGAAAGGACAAAUAGGAAGGGGGUGCCAUAAAUAUAUCAAAAAAACCUAAGACAAAGACUGGAAAGGAAAUUAAAGAAGGGGGUGCCAUUAAAAUAAUAAAAACAAAGAAAGCCAAAGAAAAGAAAGGACAAAACAUUAAGAAUAUUAAACAGAAAAAUAAUGAAACGGAAAACCCAAGAGUGGGAGGAGACAGCACACUAUAAAAGCCAAGGGAGGCACACAAAAAACACACACAGACACGUUGGGCCAGCCUGAGGAAGGCCUAUAACCGGCCGAAACGUCGCGACGGCCCAAUGACACAGAAACACAUUAUUAAAACACAAAACAACAAAAAAAUAAUAAUAAUUAUAAUAAUAACCUACUUACGGGUAAUUUUUGGAAACGGGAUAGGGACAUCAUACCAAUCCGUUGGACGAUCACAGCCUCUUGGGGCAUGCUAUGGGGGACCUUGACGCCCGGGAUGGGAACAGGUAUGGACAGUGCAUUGGAGCCCGGCCCCCUUCGGGGACCGGACUCCCAACUUGAUUUCCCCUAACCGGCCAGUGCCGCCUGUCCGCCCGCUUGGGUAGCGCGGGGUUCCCUGAGGGCUCCCUCAGGAGGUUCUUUGACCACUGGACUGGGGGUAUCCCGACCCCCUCACCAAUCCUAACCCUAACCACAUAGGACAUACAAAAACAAUUGGACACAACACAUCCUGACCCUAACCACAUACAAUCUGGACAAAAACAAUUGGACAUUAUACAAAAGUCAAUAAAGACAAACACAUAAUUAGGACAAAACAAUAAAAGGAGGAAUUGGAGGACACAAAACAAUUGGACAUAAUACAAAGGUCAAUAAGACAAACACGUAAUUAGGACAAAACAAUAAAAGGAGGACUUGGAGGACACAAUACUAAAAUCAAUAAAGACAUACAUAUAAUUAGGACAAAAAAUAAAAAAAUAAAAAUAAAAAAAAUAAAUAAAAGGAGGAUUUGGAGGAUACAAAACAAUUGGACAUAACACUAAAAGCCAAGACAAGAAACACGUAAUUGGGACAGAAAAAUCAAAGGAGGACUUGGAGGACACAAAACAAUUGGGCAUCACACAAAAGGUUACAGAGGAGAACAUAACAAGGACAAAGGAAGGUGGGACAGGAUGGUUACAAAGAAAGGAAUAAAAUCAUAAAGUCACGUAAAAACAAAAGGAAAGGACAAAUAGGAAGGGGGUGCCAUAAAAAUAUAUAAAAAAAAAACGUAAGAAAAAUACUGGAAAGGAAACUAAAGAAGGGGGUGCCAUUACAAUAAUAAAAACAAAGAAAGCCAAAGAAAGGACAGGACAAAACAUUAAGAAUAUUAAACAGAAAAAUAAUGAAACGGAAAACCCAAGAGUGGGAGGAGACAGCACACUAUAAAAGCCAAGGGAGGCACACAAAAAACACACACAGACACGUUGGGCCAGCCUGAGGAAGGCCUAUAACCGGCCGAAACGUCGCGACGGCCCAAUGACACAGAAACACAUUAUUAAAACACAAAACAACAAAAAAAUAAUAAUAAUUAUAAUAAUAACCUACUUACGGGUAAUUUUUGGAAACGGGAUAGGGACAUCAUACCAAUCCGUUGGACGAUCACAGCCUCUUGGGGCAUGCUAUGGGGGACCUUGACGCCCGGGACGCCUUCGGGGACCGGACUCCCAACUUGAUUUCCCUCAACCCCAGUGAAAGGAACCCCAAGUAAAACUCAAAAUAACGGCCAAAGACACAAAGAAAUAAACAAAAAUGAAGGCCAGGUGUAUAAUUAGGAAAGGAGGGUAUGUAAGCCAAAGGAAAGGAAGCAGGAAUUAGGAGCAAAAGGAAACAGAAGGCAAAGCAAGGGUAGGAAAGGAGAAAGGAAAGGAAAAGGAUAGGGUUAAGCCAAAGAAAGCAGUGGAAAAAAGGAAAAACGGAAAGUCACAUAUAUCCGGCACUUUGGAUGCUAUGCAGUGGGGAGGAGCCAAAAGCUAUAAAAG
Long non-coding RNA from Astatotilapia calliptera (eastern happy), 2422 nucleotides. The record is from Ensembl. Lineage: Eukaryota; Metazoa; Chordata; Actinopteri; Cichliformes; Cichlidae.